This is a non-coding RNA of Nannospalax galili (Upper Galilee mountains blind mole rat), 576 nucleotides long. NCBI's taxonomy places the organism in Eukaryota, Metazoa, Chordata, Mammalia, Rodentia, Spalacidae. The record is from the annotation of a RefSeq genome assembly.
UCUUCAGGUGCUUAGAAGAGUCUAGAGUGAGCACGGGGCAGCACAAGGAGAACCUGCGCAAUUUCAGCUACCUGCUGUCCUCUCACUGAAUUUCCUGUUGGGGCGGAGACAUCACACAACCCACUAACUUCACUUGCUCUGCUUUAGCAGCAAAUAUAGAGUUAAGGUCUUGGUUUGAGACAGAACCUAAGAAAGCUUAUUCGGGGAAGAGCUACGGCUAUGCUGAUCAUCAGGCUCCUGGGGGCAGCCAUGGCCUCCAUAUGCCUUGGAUCCAGCAUGUCACAGAAGGUAACUCAGGCUCACUUUGAAAUUUCUGUGGUGGAGAAAGAGGCUGCAAACUUGGACUGUGUGUAUGAAACUAGUGAGCCUAGUUAUAGCUUACUCUGGUACAAACAAGCACCAAGUGGGGAAAUGGUUUUCCUUGUUCGUCAGGACUCCUUCAAGAAGGACAAUGCAUCAGAGGGUCGCUAUUCUCUGAACUUCCAGAAGUCAGGCAGUUCCAUCAAGCUCACCAUCACAGCCACAGAGGUUGAGGACUCGGCAGUCUAUUUCUGUGCUCUGAGAGGUGCCACAGUG